UAAUUCCCCCAACUAUCUCAACUUCAAUUUGGUUUCUUCAUAUUCUCUGCUAAACGAUGUUAGUGUAUAAAUAUUGCUUCAGGGUUCUGAGGUAUAUCACAGUUUUUCAUCUCCCAAUUUCACGAUACAUCUCCUAAUUUAAGCUUCUUGCUAUGGCAAAUUCUCAAUUUCAACUUUCCUGGCCGAUAUUAGCAGUUUGUGAUGACCCGUCAUCUUCGCUUCUGUGAGUUUCACAAUGUCAAGAAAGGAGGGGAUUUGAUAGGGGUUGACAAGGUCUUGCUUGACGACAAGUCACACUAUAAUUUGAGGAUCCAUCACCGCAAAUAGUUUAAUCACUUUCAAGAAUUAUUGAGUGAAGGAACGGUGUACGAAAACACGUACAUGUUGCUAGAGGCAAUAGCCCCUUCAAGUUUCCAGCGCUACGGUCUGCAUAGGAUUCACUAAACACACCAAAUUUGUCAUCAAGGAUUUAUACAGGUAGCAAAUUUACAAAUAACUCUUUGGAGUGAGAAACUGUCUGAGAGAGAAAGAGGGUAAGAUGGAGAAAACUUUGGUUGAUGUUGUGCCUCUGAGGACUGGUUAGAUGAUUAUACAGGAUAUGUCGAUUCUUGGAAUACUUAAGUAACACAAGCUUCUGAUCGUGCAGCACUAUGUGCCUGUCAAGUUCUUUCUUUUGUUUAAGGUGAACAUCAUUGGAGGUGCAGAGAUGUAUAAGUUCAUCAAAGAGACUACUAAUCACCACAGGGUGAAGCUCAUAGAUUUUGAAUGUGGUCUGGUGGUUACGUUAAUGUUUGUCUUUAUAUUUCUAAAUAUCGGUACUCUGUCUUGGAUGAUGGCUUAAAGGUGACUUGUCCAAAAUAAGAUCUAUAGGUAAUGCACACCACAUGAUUCGAAGCUCUCUUUAUAAUUCUGGCUUACUCAUAGCUAUCUCGCUAUGUUUUCUGCUAGCAGCAUACCUAUAUAUAUAAUUUAUGAUUAAUGUCACUGAGAAGCAUCAGGGAAGGAAACCUUGCUCCGACAAUAUUGGAUUGAAAAAAAAUCCAUAGAUAUGCAAGCUCAUGAAUUUCAUUCUAAUCAAAUGGUAGCAACUGCUAGAGAAUUAUCCAUUUAUCUCCAAGCCUGCACGUAUUGAUUUAGUUAUUCAUACACACGUAACAAAAAAAUCCAAUUUACAAGUUUGUUACAAUGCGUAUAAUGUUUUUUCCUAAAUCUACACAUCACUACUUUUUAAUAUAACACAUCUU
This is a long non-coding RNA of Raphanus sativus (radish), 1244 nucleotides long. RefSeq lists it as uncharacterized. NCBI's taxonomy places the organism in Eukaryota, Viridiplantae, Streptophyta, Magnoliopsida, Brassicales, Brassicaceae. The transcript is spliced from 3 exons. The record is from RefSeq and is a predicted model, not a curated record.